AAUGAACGCUGGCGGUAGGCCUAACACAUGCAAGUCGAACGGCAGCACAGUAAGAGCUUGCUCUUACGGGUGGCGAGUGGCGGACGGGUGAGGAAUACAUCGGAAUCUACUUUUUCGUGGGGGAUAACGUAGGGAAACUUACGCUAAUACCGCAUACGACCUACGGGUGAAAGCAGGGGAUCUUCGGACCUUGCGCGAUUGAAUGAGCCGAUGUCGGAUUAGCUAGUUGGCGGGGUAAAGGCACACCAAGGCGACGAUCCGUAGCUGGUCUGAGAGGAUGAUCAGCCACACUGGAACUGAGACACGGUCCAGACUCCUACGGGAGGCAGCAGUGGGGAAUAUUGGACAAUGGGCGAAAGCCUGAUCCAGCCAUACCGCGUGGGUGAAGAAGGCCUUCGGGUUGUAAAGCCCUUUUGUUGGGAAAGAAAAGCAGCAGGUUAAUACCCCGCUGUUCUGACGGUACCCAAAGAAUAAGCACCGGCUAACUUCGUG
Molecule: ribosomal RNA, 492 nt
Filed under: uncultured bacterium
Lineage: Bacteria
Description: partial 16S ribosomal RNA
Rfam family: Bacterial small subunit ribosomal RNA
Source: RNAcentral